RNAcentral lists this ribosomal RNA (702 nucleotides) under Pectobacterium carotovorum subsp. carotovorum. RNAcentral's name for it is "bacterial SSU rRNA". It matches the Rfam family "Bacterial small subunit ribosomal RNA", at positions 82 to 781 of the family's 1533-position model. Lineage: Bacteria; Pseudomonadati; Pseudomonadota; Gammaproteobacteria; Enterobacterales; Pectobacteriaceae. The record is from RNAcentral.
CCUACAUUGAGUAGCGGCGGACGGGUGAGUAAUGUCUGGGAAACUGCCUGAUGGAGGGGGAUAACUACUGGAAACGGUAGCUAAUACCGCAUAACGUCUUCGGACCAAAGAGGGGGACCUUCGGGCCUCUUGCCAUCAGAUGUGCCCAGAUGGGAUUAGCUAGUAGGUGAGGUAAUGGCUCACCUAGGCGACGAUCCCUAGCUGGUCUGAGAGGAUGACCAGCCACACUGGAACUGAGACACGGUCCAGACUCCUACGGGAGGCAGCAGUGGGGAAUAUUGCACAAUGGGCGCAAGCCUGAUGCAGCCAUGCCGCGUGUGUGAAGAAGGCCUUCGGGUUGUAAAGCACUUUCAGCGGGGAGGAAGGCGGUGAGGUUAAUAACCUCAUCGAUUGACGUUACCCGCAGAAGAAGCACCGGCUAACUCCGUGCCAGCAGCCGCGGUAAUACGGAGGGUGCAAGCGUUAAUCGGAAUGACUGGGCGUAAAGCGCACGCAGGCGGUUUGUUAAGUCAGAUGUGAAAUCCCCGAGCUUAACUUGGGAACUGCAUUUGAAACUGGCAAGCUAGAGUCUUGUAGAGGGGGGUAGAAUUCCAGGUGUAGCGGUGAAAUGCGUAGAGACUGGAGGAAUACCGGUGGCGAAGGCGGCCCCCUGGACAAAGACUGACGCUCAGGUGCGAAAGCGUGGGGAGCAAACAGAUCCUA